UUUCUGGGAAGAAAGGAGAGGCUUGAAUGUGGAGUUCUGUCCUUCUGGUGGCUCUGAGAACCCAAGUCCCAGUGUGACUUACCAGGAUCUGAGGUCCUGGGGAGGCAGGGCUCCGGCCUGGAGCUUCCCGUCUCUGUAGCAGGUGGUGCUGGGAACCCUCAGGAUCCAACUGGAAGAAGAAAGAGACCAUUAGGGACCACUCUUGCCCCAUCACAGUGUUGAAGUCAGCCAGCACCUGGGUUCCAGAGCAGCUUCAACCUAUGUUUUUUUUCAACCUGUUCUUUUCAUCCAUCCAGUGACCAUCUCCUAUGGCAAGGCAGCAAGCUCGGUGUUGAAAUACAGACACAAACUAAACUUGGUCCUUGGAGUUUACAAGAUGUAUGCCAAGUGCUUCCAAACGCCACAUGUUCUGCUAUGCGACCUUGGCAUCUUGGAAUCCCCCAGCUUGCUGUUGGCCUUCACUUACCCAAACACUUCCAGCUGUAGGUCUGGCACACAGAUAUUGUCUUCUCCACAGUCCAGCAAGAUCUGAGCCUGGGGAGCAGGUUAGCCUUGAGAGGCGGACUUUAGACCUCCUCCUGGGCUGAAGGCUCCCCGCUCCAGGGCACUGCCCCCAGGUGCCCAGGCCUCUCUCCUCCCGGGUCUCAUCGCUCCCCCAUCUCCUCACCUUGUCCUCGAUGCGGCUCUUGCUCUGGUAAUGUAAGACUGGCCGGAGGCCAUGGCUGUCCACAGGGGCUUGGGGGUCCAGGGAGAAGUUAAGGGCGAUAUGAAUCGGGGAGAGCUUGUCUCGGAAUUCUGACUCGUUCUGGGGGUGGGGAAGAGGUUUUGCUGUGUCAGGGGGCAUUGGGGACUUGGUGGCCCUGCUCCUCAGCCUCUCACAUGUCUCUUGGCCCAUGCAGGGCCCUCAAGAAUCCAGGUGCCCAAACUUGACCAUCCACUUUGUUUCUGAGGCCCUGAAAGCCUGCUUCCCAGUUCCUCUGACAGAAGGGCCCCCUUCCUUGCCCCCAAAGUCCUAAGCCUCUCACUGGACUCUCCUAAUUUCUCUCUCUCUCUCUCUCUUUUUUUUUUUCCAAGAGGGGCCCCAGUUCUCUGUGACGCCCUCCCCAGGCCAGUCUGUUCUCCGCCCUUGGGCCAUACCCUGAGGUAGAUCUUCAUCUCUCUGCAGUCCUCCCGUGCCCCGUUCUGGAUGAGUAGGGUCUGGGUCAGGGUCGCCUGUCUGGAGGCCAGGAACAGUGCCCGCCGUACUCCCCCCUUCUGCUUCUGCCAGUCCAACUGGAGUUCUACUGUGAAGCCUGCAGCCAGGAACAUAUGUUCAGGAGAAUCUGUCUUUCCCUCCUAACCUAUUCAGAGAGAAGGGAGGUGCCAAGGUCCCCUCCCCCUCCUCCCCAACCCCCUUUCCCAAGGCCUAAGAGAUUCAGACAGUCUCUCUCACCAAUGGAGUCAGGAACAUGUUUUCCAGAAGCAUUGAGGCAGAAGCUAAGGUUGAUGCUGGAGGAAGACCAAGAGGAAAGCUGGUGAACGGGCACCCUAGCCUCCGGCUCCCCCCCCCCCCCCCGAA
Long non-coding RNA from Felis catus (domestic cat), 1558 nucleotides. RefSeq lists it as uncharacterized. The record is from RefSeq and is a predicted model, not a curated record. NCBI's taxonomy places the organism in Eukaryota, Metazoa, Chordata, Mammalia, Carnivora, Felidae. The transcript has 2 exons.